RNAcentral lists this transfer RNA (73 nucleotides) under Ailuropoda melanoleuca (giant panda). It matches the Rfam family "tRNA". Rfam says of the family: Transfer RNA (tRNA) molecules are approximately 80 nucleotides in length. The record is from Rfam by way of RNAcentral. Lineage: Eukaryota; Metazoa; Chordata; Mammalia; Carnivora; Ursidae.
ACCUGGCUGGCUCAGUCGGUAGAGCAUGUGACUCUUGAUCUUAGGGUUGUGAAUUUGAGCCUAACGUUGGGUG